RNAcentral lists this ribosomal RNA (261 nucleotides) under uncultured bacterium. RNAcentral describes it as "partial 16S ribosomal RNA". It matches the Rfam family "Bacterial small subunit ribosomal RNA", at positions 1231 to 1500 of the family's 1533-position model. The record is from RNAcentral.
UGGUAGGUACAGAGGGCAGCUACCCAGCGAUGGGGUGCGAAUCUCGAAAGCCUAUCUCAGUUCGGAUUGGAGGCUGAAACCCGCCUCCAUGAAGUUGGAUUCGCUAGUAAUCGCGCAUCAGCCAUGGCGCGGUGAAUACGUUCCCGGGCCUUGUACACACCGCCCGUCAAGCCAUGGGAGCUGGGGGUGCCUGAAGUUCGUGACCGCAAGGAUCGACCUAGGGCAAAACCGGUGACUGGGGCUAAGUCGUAACAAGGUACC